This 97-nucleotide signal recognition particle RNA is filed under the name Phaeovibrio sulfidiphilus. RNAcentral's name for it is "Bacterial small signal recognition particle RNA". It matches the Rfam family "Bacterial small signal recognition particle RNA". Rfam says of the family: The signal recognition particle (SRP) is a universally conserved ribonucleoprotein involved in the co-translational targeting of proteins to membranes. The record is from Rfam by way of RNAcentral. Lineage: Bacteria; Pseudomonadati; Pseudomonadota; Alphaproteobacteria; Rhodospirillales; Rhodospirillaceae.
GGAAGGCUGGCGCGGGCGUGAGGCUCCGCCAACCCGGUCAGGUCCGGAAGGAAGCAGCCGUAACGGAUGCACCGCGGGUCGCGUUCAGUCUUCCGCC